CCCAUUUUGCAGAUAAGGAAACUAAGGCAAAAUGAGGUUCUGAAACUUACUAUCAAUCACACUGCUGAGAGGUGGUGAUAAGUUGGAAUUCUCGUCUAACUUUUCCUAAAGAGGUGAACACUGGAAAAACAUGACUGAUUCUGUGCAACUUGGAAAAGGAAAAGUCAUCAGCAAGUCCCAUCCUUACCACACACAAAUACAUUACAGAGAGGGCCAAGCUGGAGGUGGUGUUGUUGACAGAAACAUUGUAAGCAGAGAAGGUGAAUCAAUCCAUGGAGUAUCCCUAUCACACUGGAUGAAGCUCAGAAUUGGCCUAAAGAAAGUGGAAGUGAGAAACACACAGGCCGGUCAGAGGCACACAGCUGCCUUCUCUCCCAGCUGACUUUGGGCAACCACACAAGGCAAAGCCAGAGGAACCAAGAAAGGGACCCGCAUGUUUGAAGAAAGGAGGAAGAAUGUCAGGACUUGGAGAUCUCUGAAUGCUUGCUUUUUGAGCUGAAUGGCUUGUUUGAAAAGUGCGUUCUUUAUGGUGGAAUGCUUUCUGUGGUCACAUGACGGAGAUAGCGCUUGGAAAGA
RNAcentral lists this long non-coding RNA (576 nucleotides) under Canis lupus familiaris (dog). RNAcentral's name for it is "lncRNA (ENSCAFG00845028651.1)". The record is from RNAcentral. Lineage: Eukaryota; Metazoa; Chordata; Mammalia; Carnivora; Canidae.